CGAGCAGAGGGGUGUUAGACGUGGGCUUCAAGGAUCAUGUUUUCAGAAACGCUAUACUUUACAGUGCAGCACCUGUAUAGAAAGAAGCAGGACUGUGAUCUGGGUGGGUGACAGCCUGGGUGAGGAGAGACUCCCACACAGGAGUCAUCAGCCACAGCAUCCACUGUGCAGAACCUCAAAAUGUGUCCCAUGCCCCCUCUGAAUUGAGCAUAAACUUGGACACAUCAAGUCCGCUUCCUUAGACUCAGAGCCCCUAUAGCACAUAUACGCACGAUCUCCAAGGAGAAGUACACAGUAUUAGAUGAGUUCAGCUUACCUUUCGGCUAUUAACAAUUAAUUCGUGCUGCCAUUGUGUUUUUAUAAAAAAGACUUUCUUUUCCACCUCUCUCCCAUUCAUCAUGUUCCAUAGAGCUCAGCUCUGUGAUCAGGAAACCAAUUGUAAAGUCCAGAAUGAGGACACGGGCUCUACAUGGUGUGGAAUGGCAGUGAGACGGGCUAGGACUUCAGAACUCAACUGAUCACACACAGGAGGGAGAAGAACAACCAAGCUGGGCUUCAAGAUGCCUUAUUUGGACACUAGUUUUUGAUGUGUCUCUGAUGGUUAUUAACCAGACAUUUCAAGGGCAAGAAACUAUUUCCCCAAAACUACCUUUUGAGACAUUUCCAGAGGCUGCCCUGUCCUCUCUGUCCAGAGACUCAGCCCCGACUCACCUCCUCUAGGAAGUCUCCCACACGGACCUCGCUCUGCUCCCUCCUCCUCACGGCUGACCCUGCUGGGUCGUCCUGCCAGCUCGGACACUUGUUUGUUGUGGCUUUUGUAAAAUACUCUGUAGUCAUUUUCCUGUGGGUGUGUCUUUUCUACUGCCCAGUGCCCCAGCUUCCCAG
RNAcentral lists this long non-coding RNA (885 nucleotides) under Homo sapiens (human). RNAcentral's name for it is "HSALNT0059733". Lineage: Eukaryota; Metazoa; Chordata; Mammalia; Primates; Hominidae. The record is from RNAcentral.